CCUACGGGUGGCAGCAGUGAGGAAUAUUGGUCAAUGGGCGAGAGCCUGAACCAGCCAAGUCGCGUGAAGGAUGACGGUCCUACGGAUUGUAAACUUCUUUUGUCAGGGAGCAAUUGGGUCCACGCGUGGCCUUAGCGAGAGUACCUGCAGAAAAAGCAUCGGCUAACUCCGUGCCAGCAGCCGCGGUAAUACGGAGGAUGCGAGCGUUAUCCGGAUUUAUUGGGUUUAAAGGGUGCGUAGGCGGAAUAUCAAGUCAGCGGUAAAAUUUCGGGGCUCAACCCCGUCGGGCCGUUGAAACUGGGGAUCUUGAGUGGGCGAGAAGUAUGCGGAAUGCGUGGUGUAGCGGUGAAAUGCAUAGAUAUCACGCAGAACUCCGAUUGCGAAGGCAGCAUACCGGCGCCCAACUGACGCUGAGGCACGAAAGCGUGGGGAUCGAACAGGAUUAGAUACCCCAGUAGUC
RNAcentral lists this ribosomal RNA (460 nucleotides) under uncultured bacterium. RNAcentral describes it as "partial 16S ribosomal RNA". It matches the Rfam family "Bacterial small subunit ribosomal RNA", at positions 338 to 795 of the family's 1533-position model. The record is from RNAcentral.